This 394-nucleotide ribosomal RNA is filed under the name uncultured bacterium. RNAcentral describes it as "bacterial SSU rRNA". It matches the Rfam family "Bacterial small subunit ribosomal RNA", at positions 361 to 772 of the family's 1533-position model. The record is from RNAcentral.
AUUUUGGACAAUGGGGGAAACCCUGAUCCAGCCAUCCCGCGUGUGCGAUGAAGGUCUUAGGAUUGUAAAAUCCUUUCACCGGGGACGAUAAUGACGGUACCCGGAGAAGAAGCCCCGGCUAACUUCGUGCCAGCAGCCGCGGUAAUACGAAGGGGGCUAGCGUUGCUCGGAAUUACUGGGCGUAAAGGGCGCGUAGGCGGACAUUUAAGUCAGGGGUGAAAUCCCAGGGCUCAACCCUGGAACUGCCUUUGAUACUGGGUGUCUUGAGUACGGGAGAGGUGUGUGGAACUCCGAGUGUAGAGGUGAAAUUCGUAGAUAUUCGGAAGAACACCAGUGGCGAAGGCGACACACUGGCCCGUUACUGACGCUGAGGCGCGAAAGCGUGGGGAGCAAA